AGCGAACGCUGGCGGCAGGCCUAACACAUGCAAGUCGAACGAACUCUUCGGAUUUACUUGCGGACUGGUGAGUAACACGUUGGAACGUGCCUUUAUAUUCGGAAUAACUCAGGGAAACUUUUGCGAAUACCGAAUGGGCCCUUGGGGGGAAGGAUUGAUCGCCUUUAGAGCUGCCCGCGUCUGAGUAGCUAGUUUUUGUGGUAAAGGCUAACCAAUGCGACGAUCAGUAGCUGGUCAGAGAGGAUGAUCAGCCACAUUGGGACUGAGGCACGGCACAAGCGCCGAAGGGAGGAAGAAGUGGGGAAUCUUGCGGAAUGGGCGAAAGCCUGACGAAGACAUGCCGCGUGAAUGAUGCAGGUUUUAGGCUUGUAAAAUUCUUCCAGCGGGGACGAUAAUGACGGUACCCGGAGAAGAAGCACCGGCUAACUUCGUG
RNAcentral lists this ribosomal RNA (433 nucleotides) under uncultured bacterium. RNAcentral describes it as "partial 16S ribosomal RNA". It matches the Rfam family "Bacterial small subunit ribosomal RNA", at positions 29 to 507 of the family's 1533-position model. The record is from RNAcentral.